ACCCGCUGAACUUAAGCAUAUCAAUAAGCGGAGGAAGAGAAACCAACAGGGAUUGCCCUAGUAACGGCGAGUGAAGCGGCAACAGCUCAAAUUUGAAAUCUGGCGUCUUUGGCGUCCGAGUUGUAAUUUGCAGAGGGCGCUUUGGCAUUGGCAGCGGUCCAAGUUCCUUGGAACAGGACGUCACAGAGGGUGAGAAUCCCGUACGUGGUCGCUAGCCUUUACCGUGUAAAGCCCCUUCGACGAGUCGAGUUGUUUGGGAAUGCAGCUCUAAAUGGGAGGUAAAUUUCUUCUAAAGCUAAAUACUGGCCAGAGACCGAUAGCGCACAAGUAGAGUGAUCGAAAGAUGAAAAGCACUUUGGAAAGAGAGUUAAAAAGCACGUGAAAUUGUUGAAAGGGAAGCGCUUGCAGCCAGACUUGCCUGUAGUUGCUCAUCCGGGUUUUUACCCGGUGCACUCUUCUAUAGGCAGGCCAGCAUCAGUUUGGGCGGUUGGAUAAAGGUCUCUGUCAUGUACCUCUCUUCGGGGAGAACUUAUAGGGGAGACGACAUGCAACCAGCCCGGACUGAGGUCCGCGCAUCUGCUAGGAUGCUGGCGUAAUGGCUGU
RNAcentral lists this ribosomal RNA (603 nucleotides) under uncultured fungus. Its description in RNAcentral is "eukaryotic LSU rRNA". It matches the Rfam family "Eukaryotic large subunit ribosomal RNA", at positions 23 to 641 of the family's 3401-position model. The record is from RNAcentral. Lineage: Eukaryota; Fungi.